Molecule: ribosomal RNA, 857 nt
Filed under: uncultured marine group I thaumarchaeote
Lineage: Archaea; Thermoproteati; Nitrososphaerota
Description: SSU rRNA
Rfam family: Archaeal small subunit ribosomal RNA
Source: RNAcentral
ACUAAGCCAUGCGAGUCUUUGUAGUAAUACAAGGCAGACGGCUCAGUAACACGUAGUCAACCUACCCUAUGGACAAGAAUAAUCUCGGGAAACUGGGCAUAAUUCUUGAUAGAUCAUAAUGCCUGGAAUGGUUUAUGGUUAAAAUGAUUCGUCGCCAUAGGAUGGGACUGCGGCCUAUCAGCUUGUUGGUGAGGUAAUGGCCCACCAAGGCGAUUACAGGUACGGGCUCUGAGAGGAGAAGCCCGGAGAUGGGUACUGAGACACGGACCCAGGCCCUAUGGGGCGCAGCAGGCGAGAAAACUUUGCAAUGUGCGAAAGCACGACAAGGUUAAUCCGAGUGAUUUCUGCUAAAGAAAUCUUUUGCCAGUCGUAAAACCGCUGGUGAAUAAGGGGUGGGCAAGUUCUGGUGUCAGCCGCCGCGGUAAAACCAGCACCUCAAGUGGUCAGGAUGAUUAUUGGGCCUAAAGCAUCCGUAGCCGGCUUUGUAAGUUUUCGGUUAAAUCCAUGUGCUCAACGCAUGGGCUGCCGAAAAUACUGCAUAGCUAGGGAGUGGGAGAGGUAGACGGUACUCAGUAGGUAGGGGUAAAAUCCUUUGAUCUAUUGAUGACCACCUGUGGCGAAGGCGGUCUACCAGAACACGUUCGACGGUGAGGGAUGAAAGCUGAGGGAGCAAACCGGAUUAGAUACCCGGGUAGUCCCAGCUGUAAACGAUGCAGACUAGAUGAUGCAUUGGCAUAAUAGCCAUUGCAGUGUCUCAGGGAAGCCGUUAAGCCUGCCGCCUGGGAAGUACGUACGCAAGUAUGAAACUUAAAGGAAUUGGCGGGGGAGCACCACAAGGGGUGAAGCCUGCGGUCAAU